RNAcentral lists this ribosomal RNA (751 nucleotides) under Vreelandella aquamarina. Its description in RNAcentral is "bacterial SSU rRNA". It matches the Rfam family "Bacterial small subunit ribosomal RNA", at positions 39 to 788 of the family's 1533-position model. Lineage: Bacteria; Pseudomonadati; Pseudomonadota; Gammaproteobacteria; Oceanospirillales; Halomonadaceae. The record is from RNAcentral.
GGGAUGGGGCAGCUACACAUGCAGUCGAGCGGUAACAGAUCCAGCUUGCUGGAUGCUGACGAGCGGCGGACGGGUGAGUAAUGCAUAGGAAUCUGCCCGAUAGUGGGGGAUAACCUGGGGAAACCCAGGCUAAUACCGCAUACGUCCUACGGGAGAAAGGGGGCUUCGGCUCCCGCUAUCGGAUGAGCCUAUGUCGGAUUAGCUAGUUGGUGAGGUAACGGCUCACCAAGGCCACGAUCCGUAGCUGGUCUGAGAGGAUGAUCAGCCACAUCGGGACUGAGACACGGCCCGAACUCCUACGGGAGGCAGCAGUGGGGAAUAUUGGACAAUGGGGGGAACCCUGAUCCAGCCAUGCCGCGUGUGUGAAGAAGGCCCUCGGGUUGUAAAGCACUUUCAGCGAGGAAGAACGCCUAGCGGUUAAUACCCGCUAGGAAAGACAUCACUCGCAGAAGAAGCACCGGCUAACUCCGUGCCAGCAGCCGCGGUAAUACGGAGGGUGCAAGCGUUAAUCGGAAUUACUGGGCGUAAAGCGCGCGUAGGUGGCUUGAUAAGCCGGUUGUGAAAGCCCCGGGCUCAACCUGGGAACGGCAUCCGGAACUGUCAAGCUAGAGUGCAGGAGAGGAAGGUAGAAUUCCCGGUGUAGCGGUGAAAUGCGUAGAGAUCGGGAGGAAUACCAGUGGCGAAGGCGGCCUUCUGGACUGACACUGACACUGAGGUGCGAAAGCGUGGGUAGCAAACAGGAUUAGUCCCU